AGCAGCCGCGGUAAUUCCAGCUCCAAUAGCGUAUAUUAAAGUUGUUGCAGUUAAAAAGCUCGUAGUUGAAUUUCGGGAUCAAUAUAUCGGUCGUGCCAUCGGUACGUACUGGUAUCACUGGUUUCUCCUUUCUGACGAACCAUGAUGUCAUUAAUUUGGUGUUAUGGGAAGUUAGGACUGUUACUUUGAAAAAAUUAGAGUGUUUAAAGCAGGCUUUAGCUUGAAUACAUUAGCAUGGAAUAAUGAAAUAGGACGUUCGAACCUAUUUUGUUGGUUUCUAGGAUCAACGUAAUGAUUAAUAGGGAUAGUUGGGGGCAUUAGUAUUCAAUUGUCAGAGGUGAAAUUCUUGGAUUUAUUGAAGACUAACUACUGCGAAAGCAUUUGCCAAGGAUGUUUUCAUUAAUCAAGAACGAAAGUUAGGGGAUCGAAGACGAUCAGAUACCGUCGUAGUCUUAACCAUAAACUAUGCCGACUAGGGAUCGGAUGAUGUUAAUUUUUUAAUGACUCAUUCGGCGCCUUA
Molecule: small RNA, 520 nt
Filed under: uncultured Glomus
Lineage: Eukaryota; Fungi; Glomeromycota; Glomeromycetes; Glomerales; Glomeraceae
Description: SSU rRNA
Rfam family: Eukaryotic small subunit ribosomal RNA
Source: RNAcentral